UUUUAGCCCCGAUUGCAGUGGAAAUCCUUUUUUGUCCCGGCUUCAGACGAGAUGAAAAAGAUUGAAACGUAAAGCGGGUGCGAAA
Molecule: small RNA, 85 nt
Filed under: Kaistella jeonii
Lineage: Bacteria; Pseudomonadati; Bacteroidota; Flavobacteriia; Flavobacteriales; Weeksellaceae
Description: Chryseobacterium jeonii Flavo-1 RNA
Rfam family: Flavo-1 RNA
Source: RNAcentral